GUACUACUGAGGUGUCCCAAACUAGGACGAAACAACCGUCCGGUAC
Molecule: non-coding RNA, 46 nt
Filed under: Trichobilharzia regenti
Lineage: Eukaryota; Metazoa; Platyhelminthes; Trematoda; Strigeidida; Schistosomatidae
Source: RNAcentral